GCUCAGGAUGAACGCUGGCGGCGUGCCUAAUACAUGCAAGUCGAACGAGUUCUGAUUAUUGAAAGGUGCUUGCAUCUUGAUUUAAUUUUGAACGAGUGGCGGACGGGUGAGUAACACGUGGGUAACCUGCCCUUAAGUGGGGGAUAACAUUUGGAAACAGAUGCUAAUACCGCAUAAAUCCAAGAACCGCAUGGUUCUUGGCUGAAAGAUGGCGUAAGCUAUCGCUUUUGGAUGGACCCGCGGCGUAUUAGCUAGUUGGUGAGGUAACGGCUCACCAAGGCAAUGAUACGUAGCCGAACUGAGAGGUUGAUCGGCCACAUUGGGACUGAGACACGGCCCAAACUCCUACGGGAGGCAGCAGUAGGGAAUCCUCCACAAUGGACGCAAGUCUGAUGGAGCAACGCCGCGUGAGUGAAGAAGGCUUUCGGGUCGUAAAACUCUGUUGUUGGAGAAGAAUGGUCGGCAGAGUAACUGUUGUCGGCGUGACGGUAUCCAACCAGAAAGCCACGGCUAACUACGUGCCAGCAGCCGCGGUAAUACGUAGGUGGCAAGCGUUAUCCGGAUUUAUUGGGCGUAAAGCGAGCGCAGGCGGUUUUUUAAGUCUGAUGUGAAAGCCCUCGGCUUAACCGAGGAAGUGCAUCGGAAACUGGGAAACUUGAGUGCAGAAGAGGACAGUGGAACUCCAUGUGUAGCGGUGAAAUGCGUAGAUAUAUGGAAGAACACCAGUGGCGAAGGCGGCUGUCUGGUCUGUAACUGACGCUGAGGCUCGAAAGCAUGGGUAGCGAACAGGAUUAGAUACCCUGGUAGUCCAUGCCGUAAACGAUGAAUGCUAGGUGUUGGAGGGUUUCCGCCCUUCAGUGCCGCAGCUAACGCAUUAAGCAUUCCGCCUGGGGAGUACGACCGCAAGGUUGAAACUCAAAGGAAUUGACGGGGGCCCGCACAAGCGGUGGAGCAUGUGGUUUAAUUCGAAGCAACGCGAAGAACCUUACCAGGUCUUGACAUCUUUUGAUCACCUGAGAGAUCAGGUUUCCCCUUCGGGGGCAAAAUGACAGGUGGUGCAUGGUUGUCGUCAGCUCGUGUCGUGAGAUGUUGGGUUAAGUCCCGCAACGAGCGCAACCCUUAUGACUAGUUGCCAGCAUUUAGUUGGGCACUCUAGUAAGACUGCCGGUGACAAACCGGAGGAAGGUGGGGAUGACGUUAAAUCAUCAUGCCCCUUAUGACCUGGGCUACACACGUGCUACAAUGGAUGGUACAACGAGUUGCGAGACCGCGAGGUCAAGCUAAUCUCUUAAAGCCAUUCUCAGUUCGGACUGUAGGCUGCAACUCGCCUACACGAAGUCGGAAUCGCUAGUAAUCGCGGAUCAGCACGCCGCGGUGAAUACGUUCCCGGGCCUUGUACACACCGCCCGUCACACCAUGAGAGUUUGUAACACCCGAAGCCGGUAGCGUAACCCUUUUAGGGAGCGAGCCGUCU
This 1474-nucleotide ribosomal RNA is filed under the name uncultured organism. RNAcentral's name for it is "SSU rRNA". It matches the Rfam family "Bacterial small subunit ribosomal RNA". The record is from RNAcentral.